This 621-nucleotide ribosomal RNA is filed under the name Hygrocybe noninquinans. Its description in RNAcentral is "eukaryotic LSU rRNA". The stretch from base 283 to 436 matches the Rfam family "5.8S ribosomal RNA". The record is from RNAcentral. Lineage: Eukaryota; Fungi; Basidiomycota; Agaricomycetes; Agaricales; Hygrophoraceae.
UUGAGGAAGUAAAAGUUGUAACAAGAAGUUCGUGGUGACCUGCGGAGGAUCAUUACUGAAGUGAUUUUGGGGGAUGUUGCUGGUCUCUUGAGGCAAUGGUGCACUCCCUCAAACAUUUUCACAAUUUCCAUCUCACCCAUGUGCACAUCCUGUAGGUGGUCUCCCAACCCCAAGAAAAGGGGUGGUGGGUCUGGUCUCCUAUGUAUUUCCUUGCCCAACAUCACACGUUUUGAUUGAUUGAAUGAAUCCUGUGGAUUAUCUGUAAAAAGUAAUCAUAGAAACAACUUUCAACAAUGGAUCUCUUGGCUCUCGCAUCGAUGAAGAACGCAGCGAAAUGCGAUACGUAAUGUGAAUUGCAGAAUUCCGUGAAUCAUUGAAUCUUUGAACGCACCUUGCGCCUCUUGGUAUUCCGAGGGGCAUGCCUGUUUGAGUGUCAUUGAAUCCUCAAAAGAAAGGAACCUCUCAGGUUGGAGGAGGUGUCUUUUGGAAUUGGGAUGUGCUUGGGGCCCUUAAGGUGUCCAAGCUCUCCUGAAAUGCAUUAGCAACGUGGUUUCCUGCCUUGCACAGCAUGUGCUUCCUUGUCGGCAUUGAUAAUCAAUUCAUGUCAAGAGAGGGGGGCCC